Molecule: signal recognition particle RNA, 274 nt
Filed under: Zalophus californianus (California sea lion)
Lineage: Eukaryota; Metazoa; Chordata; Mammalia; Carnivora; Otariidae
Description: Metazoan signal recognition particle RNA (ENSZCAG00015022961.1)
Rfam family: Metazoan signal recognition particle RNA
About the family: The signal recognition particle (SRP) is a universally conserved ribonucleoprotein. It is involved in the co-translational targeting of proteins to membranes.
Source: RNAcentral
GCCGGGCGCGGUAGAGCGAGCCUGUAGUUCCAGCUACUCGGGAGGCUGAGGCGGAAUGAUCGCUUGAGCCCAGGAGUUCUGGGCUGUAGUGCGCUAUGCCGAGCCGGUGUCCGCACUAAGUUCUGCAUCAAUAUGGUGACCUCCCGGGAGCAGGGGACCACCAGGUUGCCUAAGGAGGGGUGAACUGGCCCAGGUCGGAAACGGAGGUCAAGACUGCAUAAUAAAAUACAAAAACAAAUUUAGUGUUGCCUACAUUGAUAUAUCCUUGUUUCAU